CCGGAGCCACUGUGGCUCCGGCUGGAUGCGCCUGCCCUCGGGCCCUCAGGGAGGCAGGGGUUCGAGGGUACGAGUUCAAGGCCAACCUGGUCCACAUGGGUUGAAAAAAAAAUUUUUUU
Small nuclear RNA from Homo sapiens (human), 119 nucleotides. Lineage: Eukaryota; Metazoa; Chordata; Mammalia; Primates; Hominidae. The record is from RefSeq and is marked provisional.